Molecule: long non-coding RNA, 222 nt
Filed under: Elaeis guineensis (African oil palm)
Lineage: Eukaryota; Viridiplantae; Streptophyta; Magnoliopsida; Arecales; Arecaceae
Description: long non-coding RNA (EGUI_LNC008060)
Source: RNAcentral
AAGGGUCAAAGGGAUGAAUUAUACAGUAAUUGUAUCCAAGUAGGUUCUUGAGUGUUACUUUACAUACAUUCGGUCUAUCCAAAUAUCAGGUACCAUUGCUAGAUGGUUACUCUGAUUAGUAUAGAAAUAUAUUCCUAUGCUAUCGAUUUAGGUUCGAACCUAUAGGAUCACACACAUUAAAAGUUUCUCUCCAAUUAGAUGAUUGAUCUGAAGAGUCUCACU